GAUUUCUGGUACGGCGCACUUGGCCCGCUUCGGUUACGAGGUCGAGUGCCGGUGUGCGCCUGCCAUCCUUCUAGAGUACGACUCUCCCUUCAGUGGGUUGGGCCGGAAUCUAGAUCAUUUACUUUGAAAAAAUUAGAGUGUUUAAAGCAGGCUUACGCUAUGAAUACAUUAGCAUGGAAUAAUAAUUUAGGACUUUGGCCCUAUUUUGUUGGUUUCUAGGACUGAAGUAAUGAUUGAUAGGGAUAGUUGGGGGUGCUCGAAUUCAGCGGCCAGAGGUGAAAUUCUUGGAUUCGCUGAAGACGAACUCAUGCGAAAGCAUU
This 320-nucleotide ribosomal RNA is filed under the name uncultured Cercomonas. RNAcentral describes it as "SSU rRNA". The stretch from base 105 to 320 matches the Rfam family "Eukaryotic small subunit ribosomal RNA", at positions 738 to 955 of the family's 1831-position model. The record is from RNAcentral. Lineage: Eukaryota; Cercozoa; Cercomonadida; Cercomonadidae.